UACGAAGGGGGCUAGCGUUGCUCGGAAUCACUGGGCAUAAAGGGUGCGUAGGCGGGUCUUUAAGUCAGAGGUGAAAUCCUGGAGCUCAACUCCAGAACUGCCUUUGAUACUGAAGAUCUUGAGUUCGGGAGAGGUGAGUGGAACUGCGAGUGUAGAGGUGAAAUUCGUAGAUAUUCGCAAGAACACCAGUGGCGAAGGCGGCUCACUGGCCCGAUACUGACGCUGAGGCACGAAAGCGUGGGGAGCAAACAGG
Molecule: ribosomal RNA, 253 nt
Filed under: uncultured bacterium
Lineage: Bacteria
Description: partial 16S ribosomal RNA
Rfam family: Bacterial small subunit ribosomal RNA
Source: RNAcentral